RNAcentral lists this ribosomal RNA (254 nucleotides) under uncultured bacterium. RNAcentral's name for it is "partial 16S ribosomal RNA". It matches the Rfam family "Bacterial small subunit ribosomal RNA", at positions 524 to 776 of the family's 1533-position model. The record is from RNAcentral.
CACGUAGGGUGCGAGCGUUGUCCGGAAUUAUUGGGCGUAAAGAGCUCGUAGGCGGUGUGUCGCGUCGGCCGUGAAAACCUGCAGCUUAACUGUGGGCGUGCGGUCGAUACGGGCAUCACUGGAGUUCGGCAGGGGAGACUGGAAUUCCUGGUGUAGCGGUGAAAUGCGUAGAUAUCAGGAGGAACACCGGUGGCGAAGGCGGCUAUCUGGACAGAAACUGACGCUGAGGCGCGAAAGCUAGGGGAGCAAACAGG